CUAAUACAUGCAAGUCGAGCGCGGGGAGCAGGCAGACCUCCUUCGGGAGUGAUGUUUGUGGAAUGAGCGGCGGACGGGUGAGUAACACGUGGGCAACCUGCCUGUAAGACCGGGAUAACUCGCGGAAACGUGAGCUAAUACCGGAUAAAGCUCCAUGCCGCAUGGCAUGGGGAUGAAAGACGGCUUAGCUGUCGCUUGCAGAUGGGCCCGCGGCGCAUUAGCUAGUUGGUGGGGUGAUGGCCUACCAAGGCGACGAUGCGUAGCCGACCUGAGAGGGUGACCGGCCACACUGGGACUGAGACACGGCCCAGACUCCUACGGGAGGCAGCAGUAGGGAAUCUUCCGCAAUGGACGCAAGUCUGACGGAGCAACGCCGCGUGAGCGAUGAAGGUCUUCGGAUCGUAAAGCUCUGUUGUCAGGGAAGAACACGUGUGAGAGUAACUGCUCACACCUUGACGGUACCUGACCAGAAAGCCACGGCUAACUACGUGCCAGCAGCCGCGGUAAUACGUAGGUGGCAAGCGUUGUCCGGAAUUAUUGGGCGUAAAGCGCGCGUAGGCGGCCCUUUAAGUCUCGUGUUUAAACCCGGAGCUCAACUUCGGGUCGCACGGGAAACUGGGGGGCUUGAGUGCAGGAGAGGGAAGCGGAAUUCCACGUGUAGCGGUGAAAUGCGUAGAGAUGUGGAGGAACACCAGUGGCGAAGGCGG
RNAcentral lists this ribosomal RNA (707 nucleotides) under uncultured bacterium. Its description in RNAcentral is "bacterial SSU rRNA". It matches the Rfam family "Bacterial small subunit ribosomal RNA", at positions 48 to 724 of the family's 1533-position model. The record is from RNAcentral.